Molecule: ribosomal RNA, 253 nt
Filed under: uncultured bacterium
Lineage: Bacteria
Description: partial 16S ribosomal RNA
Rfam family: Bacterial small subunit ribosomal RNA
Source: RNAcentral
GACAGAGGCCUCGAGCGUUAGGCGGAAUCACUGGGCUUAAAGCGUGUGUAGGCGGGCCCGUAAGUGUCUUGUGAAAUCCCACGGCUCAACCAUGGAACUGCUCGGUAUACUGCGAAUCUUGAGCCACUUAGGGGCUACCGGAACAAAUGGUGGAGCGGUGAAAUGCGUAGAUAUCAUUUGGAACGCCAAUGGUGAAAACAGGUAGCUGGGAGUGUGCUGACGCUGAGACACGAAAGCCAGGGGAGCGAACGGG